This 72-nucleotide transfer RNA is filed under the name Candidatus Pacearchaeota archaeon. Its description in RNAcentral is "tRNA-Thr". It matches the Rfam family "tRNA". Rfam says of the family: Transfer RNA (tRNA) molecules are approximately 80 nucleotides in length. Their secondary structure includes four short double-helical elements and three loops (D, anti-codon, and T loops). Lineage: Archaea; Nanobdellati. RNAcentral also lists the same sequence under 1 other name. The record is from RNAcentral.
GCCUGUGUAGCUCAGUGUUAGAGCAACGCACUUGUAAUGCGUAGGUCAUGGGUUAGAAUCCCAUCACAGGCU